GAUGAACGCUAGCGGCAGGCCUAACACAUGCAAGUCAGGGGUAACAUAGAAAUGCUUGCUUUUCUGAUGACGACCGGCGCACGGGUGCGUAACGCGUAUACAACCUACCUUUUAGCGGGGAAUAGCCCAGGGAAACUUGGAUUAAUGCCCCAUAGUAUAUAGACUUCUCCUGAAGUUUAUAUUAAACAUUUAUGGCUAUUAGAUGGGUAUGCGUCCUAUUAGUUAGUUGGUAAGGUAACGGCUUACCAAGGCAGCGAUAGGUAGGGGUCCUGAGAGGGAGAUCCCCACACUGGUACUGAGACACGGACCAGACUCCUACGGGAGGCAGCAGUGAGGAAUAUUGGACAAUGGGCGAGAGCCUGAUCCAGCCAUGCCGCGUGCAGGAAGACUGCCCUAUGGGUUGUAAACUGCUUUUACAGAGGAAGAACCACCCCCACGUGUGGGGGAUUGACGGUACUCUGCGAAUAAGGAUCGGCUAACUCCGUG
This 486-nucleotide ribosomal RNA is filed under the name uncultured bacterium. RNAcentral describes it as "bacterial SSU rRNA". It matches the Rfam family "Bacterial small subunit ribosomal RNA", at positions 28 to 507 of the family's 1533-position model. The record is from RNAcentral.